Molecule: ribosomal RNA, 253 nt
Filed under: uncultured bacterium
Lineage: Bacteria
Description: partial 16S ribosomal RNA
Rfam family: Bacterial small subunit ribosomal RNA
Source: RNAcentral
UACGUAGGUGGCAAGCGUUGUCCGGAUUUACUGGGCGUAGAGAGCGCGCAGGCGGUCGUUCAAGUCGCGUGUGAAAGCCCCCGGCUCAACUGGGGAGGGUCACGCGAUACUGAUCGACUCGAAGGCAGGAGAGGGUAGUGGAAUUCCCGGUGUAGCAGUGAAAUGCGUAGAUAUGCGGAGGAACACCGAUGGCGAAGGCAAUCCCCUGGGCCUGCACUGACGCUCAUGCACGAAAGCGUGGGGAGCAAACAGG